RNAcentral lists this ribosomal RNA (234 nucleotides) under uncultured bacterium. RNAcentral describes it as "partial 16S ribosomal RNA". It matches the Rfam family "Bacterial small subunit ribosomal RNA", at positions 335 to 561 of the family's 1533-position model. The record is from RNAcentral.
ACUCCUACGGGAGGCAGCAGUGGGGAAUAUUGCACAAUGGGCGCAAGCCUGAUGCAGCCAUGCCGCGUGUGUGAAGAAGGCCUUCGGGUUGUAAAGCACUUUCAGUAGGGAGGAAGGUGGUAGUGUUAAUAGCGCUANCAUUUGACGUUACCUACAGAAGAAGCACCGGCUAACUCCGUGCCAGCAGCCGCGGUAAUACGGAGGGUGCGAGCGUUAAUCGGAAUUACUGGGCGU